RNAcentral lists this ribosomal RNA (1101 nucleotides) under Bacillus pumilus. RNAcentral's name for it is "bacterial SSU rRNA". It matches the Rfam family "Bacterial small subunit ribosomal RNA", at positions 185 to 1262 of the family's 1533-position model. The record is from RNAcentral. Lineage: Bacteria; Bacillati; Bacillota; Bacilli; Caryophanales; Bacillaceae.
ACCGCAUGGUUCAUGAAGGAUGAAAGACGGUUUCGGCUGUCACUUACAGAUGGACCCGCGGCGCAUUAGCUAGUUGGUGGGGUAAUGGCUCACCAAGGCGACGAUGCGUAGCCGACCUGAGAGGGUGAUCGGCCACACUGGGACUGAGACACGGCCCAGACUCCUACGGGAGGCAGCAGUAGGGAAUCUUCCGCAAUGGACGAAGUCUGACUGGAGCAACGCCGCUGAGUGAUGAAGGUUUUCGGAUCGUAAAAGCUCUGUUGUUAGGGAAGAAAGUGCGAGAGUAACUGCUCGCACCUUGACGGUACCUAACCAGAAAGCCACGGCUAACUACGUGCCAGCAGCCGCGGUAAUACGUAGGUGGCAAGCGUUGUCCGGAAUUAUUGGGCGUAAAGGGCUCGCAGGCGGUUUCUUAAGUCUGAUGUGAAAGCCCCGCCGGCUCAACCCGGGGAGGGUCAUUGGAAACUGGGAAACUUGAGUGCAGAAGAGGAGAGUGGAAUUCCACGUGUAGCGGUGAAAUGCGUAGAGAUUGGAGGAACACCAGUGCGAAGGCGACUCUCUGGUCUGUAACUGACGCUGAGGAGCGAAAGCGGGGGAGCGAACAGGAUUAGAUACCCUGGUAGUCCACGCCGUAAACGAUGAGUGCUAAGUGUUAGGGGGUUUUUCCGCCCCUUAGUGCUGCAGCUAACGCAUUAAGCACUCCGCCUGGGGAGUACGGUCGCAAGACUGAAACUCAAAGGAAAUGACGGGGGCCCGCACAAGCGGGUGGAGCAUGGUGGUUUAAUUCGAAGCAACGCGAAGAACCUUAACCCAGGUCUUGACAUCCUCUGACAACCCUAGAGAUAGGGCUUUCCCCUUCGGGGACAGAGUGACAGGUGGUGCAUGGUUGUCGUCAGCUCGUGUCGUGAGAUGUUGGGUUAAGUCCCAACGAGCGCAACCCUUGAUCUUAGUUGCCAGCAUUUAGUUGGGCACUCUAAGGUGACUGCCGGUGACAAACCGGAGGGAAAGGUGGGGCGAUGACGUCAAAUCAUCAUGCCCCUUAUGACCUGGGCUACACACGUGCUUACAAUGGACAGAACAAAGGGCUGCGAGACCGCAAGU